AACGCUAGCUACAGGCUUAACACAUGCAAGUCGAGGGGAAACGAUAUUGGAAGCUUGCUUCCGAUAGGCGUCGACCGGCGCACGGGUGAGUAACGCGUAUCCAACCUGCCCAUCACUUGGGGAUAACCUUGCGAAAGUAAGACUAAUACCCAAUGAUAUCUCUAGAAGACAUCUGAAAGAGAUUAAAGAUUUAUCGGUGAUGGAUGGGGAUGCGUCUGAUUAGCUUGUUGGCGGGGUAACGGACCACCAAGCCGACGAUGUCUAGGGGUUCUGAGAGGAAGGUCCCCCACACUGGUACUGAGACACGGACCAGACUCCUACGGGAGGCAGCAGUGAGGAAUAUUGGUCAAUGGGCGAGAGCCUGAACCAGCCAAGUCGCGUGAGGGAAGACGGUACUAAGUAUUGUAAACCUCUUUUGUCAGGGAACAAAGAGACCACGUGUGGUAAGAUGAGUGUACCUGAAGAAAAAGCAUCGGCUAACUCCGUGCCAGCAGCCGCGGUAAUACGGAGGAUGCGAGCGUUAUCCGGAUUUAUUGGGUUUAAAGGGUGCGUAGGCGGCAUAUCAAGUCAGCGGUUAAAUGUCGGGGCUCAACCUCGGCCUGCCGUUGAAACUGAUGAGCUAGAGAGGAUGAGAAGUAUGCGGAAUGCGUGGUGUAGCGGUGAAAUGCAUAGAUAUCACGAAGAACUCCGAUUG
RNAcentral lists this ribosomal RNA (694 nucleotides) under uncultured bacterium. RNAcentral describes it as "bacterial SSU rRNA". It matches the Rfam family "Bacterial small subunit ribosomal RNA", at positions 32 to 715 of the family's 1533-position model. The record is from RNAcentral.